AAAGAGUACAGGCUAACCAACAGAAACUUCUAUUAGACACCUUAACAAAAUGUUCCAGCAAAACAGGCCAUCUUAUUUUAAAAUAAGGCAUUCAGAACAU
Molecule: non-coding RNA, 100 nt
Organism: Vicugna pacos (alpaca)
Lineage: Eukaryota; Metazoa; Chordata; Mammalia; Artiodactyla; Camelidae
Source: RefSeq, a predicted model, not a curated record